Molecule: ribosomal RNA, 484 nt
Filed under: uncultured bacterium
Lineage: Bacteria
Description: partial 16S ribosomal RNA
Rfam family: Bacterial small subunit ribosomal RNA
Source: RNAcentral
AUUGAACGCUGGCGGCAUGCUUUACACAUGCAAGUCGAACGGCAGCGCGGGCUUCGGCCUGGCGGCGAGUGGCGAACGGGUGAGUAAUACAUCGGAACGUGCCCAGAAGUGGGGGAUAGCUCGGCGAAAGCCGGAUUAAUACCGCAUACGACCUGAGGGUGAAAGCGGGGGAUCUUCGGGCCUCGCGCUAUUGGAGCGGCCGAUGGCAGAUUAGCUAGUUGGUGGGGUAAAGGCCUACCAAGGCGACGAUCUGUAGCUGGUCUGAGAGGACGACCAGCCACACUGGGACUGAGACACGGCCCAGACUCCUACGGGAGGCAGCAGUGGGGAAUUUUGGACAAUGGGCGAAAGCCUGAUCCAGCAAUGCCGCGUGUGUGAUGAAGGCCUUCGGGUUGUAAAGCACUUUUGGCGGGAACGAAAAGGACUGUGCCAAUACCACGGUUCGAUGACGGUACCCGCAGAAUAAGCACCGGCUAACUACGUG